UCGAGAAUAGUCUACAAUGGUCGAAAGACUGAUAGUGCGACGCCGCGUGAACGAAGAAGCCCUUCGGGGUGUAAAGUUCUUUUAUAUGUGAGCAAUGCCAGAUAGGUGAAUAGUCUGUUUGGAGCGAUAUUAGCAUAUGAAAAAGCAACGGCUAACUCCGUGCCAGCAGCCGCGGUAACAUGGGGGUUGCAAGCGUUGUCCGGACGUACUCGGCGUAAAGGGCAGGUAGGCGGAUCUAUAAGUUGAAGGUUAAA
RNAcentral lists this ribosomal RNA (254 nucleotides) under uncultured prokaryote. Its description in RNAcentral is "partial 16S ribosomal RNA". It matches the Rfam family "Bacterial small subunit ribosomal RNA", at positions 355 to 599 of the family's 1533-position model. The record is from RNAcentral.